Gymnodraco acuticeps is the source of this 1586-nucleotide long non-coding RNA. RefSeq lists it as uncharacterized. NCBI's taxonomy places the organism in Eukaryota, Metazoa, Chordata, Actinopteri, Perciformes, Bathydraconidae. The transcript has 2 exons. The record is from RefSeq and is a predicted model, not a curated record.
GAAGAAGAAGAAGAAGAAGAAGAAGAAGAAGAAGACCUUUUUAUUCCUCGGGUUGGAAUAGGUUCCUAUAGGUUGCUUUAGAAUAUCCUAAUGUAUUACACUAUGUGACUGUCGACAGGCUGUGGCCCUUAUACAUAGAAAUGUUUAGGCUACUCUUGUAUACAAAAAAGAAUAACAGACUCUCGGCACGACAUGUGGAAGCUGCGUCAAAUGGAGGUAGUUUACGGUAAAAACGGCGCCCUUUUACCAUGUGAUUUCACCGAUGUUUGUAAACAUGCGUCAACCACAUGUGAUUUUGACGAUGAGGAAAUAGUGUCCGGCCAACCAGCGGCCGGGGGUGUAUCAGGGGCGGAGUUCCCGUGUUGCGCUAUGGAAAAUCGUACAAGAGAUACACAGUGAUAAACGUGCCCUCCGAGAUUCAUAAUAGAGACAAUAAGGCUGAAACGGGAACGUAGCAACCUGAGGACCGGGUCUGAGAGGAACCGGCCGGGAAAUGGACCUGCCCGCCUAGGAACAGAAGGGGAACAUGAAUGGGAUAAAACACGAAAGGACAUGGCCUCAGAAUGCAGUUUUUCUUAAAGACAUCCGCUCCAGGGAACUGGUUUCGGAUGGUGUUUUAGAGUGUAAAAUAUGAUCUAGCACCAUUUGAAAUCGGUGUUCUUGAGAGGGAACCGACUCCAGGAAGGACGACAGUGACCACUUCAUUCACAAGUUGCAUCACUAGGAUUUCAUUAUGGUGGCAUUGUUUUCACUCAAUAUUUUACAAACCAUUUUCAGAUGUGUUAUGCCAUCAGUCAAGACAAUCCGUUUAUACGAUUAUGUGGCCACUGGAUAAGUCCUUUAUUAGCUUUCGCUCCAAUAACCAGAAGAAAAAAGGGAUGUUUGAGUCUAAAUCUCCUGAGCAGCUGAGUCUGCCCCUCUUACCAAGGCUGACCGUUUUCGUCUGGUGUUCAGAGUUUCCAUCAUGUCUAGCACCAUUUGAAAUCGGUUACAAUGUAGAGGGACUAUCAACAAAGCUUGGCUCCAGCAGUUGCAUGAUGAAUUCCCUAAAAGUACCAGAAGAUGGCAGUAAUGAGCUACGAUCCAAGGCAUGUGUUUUUUUUUUUUAAAUGACAGAAGCAGUGAAGGUUUUACCAGAUAACCCUGAUCCCUGUUCCAUUGAGUUCCUUUUUGUUAGUCUGUUGCACUUUUAAAUAAUUCAGUUUCCUCUAUAAUCAUGUUGCUGUCACUCAGCCGUGCUGCGUGCGAGUUCCAGAUACAGUUAUCUUGUCCUGUAUACGUUUCCUCCAGGAACAGAUGGAAGCUGGUAACAAAGAAAAGAUAUGGUUAAAUGCUUCAGUAGUUCAGAAGUUGUGAGCCGUUUUCACAGCUGUCAAGUUCUGAUAUUCCCUUCAUACAUUUACAUCUAGAACUAGUGCACAUUAUUUGUUAAAUUAACAUUUGUUGGCCACAUUUCCUUACUUACUGUUUCAUUCAUAAAUAAAAAAGUGGUCAAAGUUGUACAGUGUUUUAUUUACCUCAUUAAAUGAGGCCGUUUUGGCUGACUAUGUAAUACAAAUGUAGCUAAUAAACUAUGUUUUAUAUGA